GUAAAAUAACAAUAGUGAGGUUUUAUACAGGGGUACCUGUACAGAGUCAAUGUGGAGGCUAUAUACAGGGGGUACCAGUACAGAGUCAAUGUGGAGGCUAUAUACAGGAGGUACCAGUACAGAGUCAAUGUGGAGGCUAUAUACAGGGGUACUGGUACAGAGUCAAUGUGGAGGCUAUAUACAGGGGGUACCGGUACAGAGUCAAUGUACAGAGUCAAUGUGGAGGCUAUAUACAGGGGUACCGGUACAGAGUCAAUGUGGAGGCUAUAUACAGGUGGUACCGGUACAGAGUCAAUGUGGAGGCUAUAUACAGGGGUACUGGUACAGAGUCAAUGUGGAGGCUAUAUACAGGGGUACUGGUACAGAGUCAAUGUGGAGGCUAUAUACAGGGGGUACCAGUACAGAGUCAAUGUGGAGGCUAUAUACAGGGGUACCGGUACAGAGUCAAUGUGGAGGCUUUAUACAGGAGGUACCAGUACAGAGUCAAUGUGGAGGCUAUAUACAGGGGUACCGGUACAGAGUCAAUGUGGAGGCUUUAUACAGGAGGUACCAGUACAGAGUCAAUGUGGAGGCUAUAUACAGGGGUACUGGUACAGAGUCAAUGUACAGAGUCAAUGUGGAGGCUAUAUACAGGGGUACCGGUACAGAGUGAAUGUGGAGGCUAUAUACAGGUGGUACCGGUACAGAGUCAAUGUGGAGGCUAUAUACAGGGGUACUGGUACAGAGUCAAUGUGGAGGCUAUAUACAGGGGGUACCGGUACAGAGUCAAUGUACAGAGUCAAUGUGGAGGCUAUAUAAGUAAUAUGUACAUGUAGGUGGAGUUGUUAAAGUGACUAUGCAUAGAUAAUAACAGAGUAGCAGCAGCAUAGAAGAGGGGGGGAGAGACAAUGCAAAUAGUCUGUAAAGCCAUUUGAUACAAUUUUCAGGAGUCUUAUGUCUUGGGGGUAGAAGCUGUUUAGAAGCCUCUUGAACCUAGACUUGGGGCACCGGUACCACUUGCCGUGCGGUAGCAGAGAGAACAGUCUGACUAGGGUGGCUGGAGUCACUGACAAUUUUUAGGGCCCUCUUCUGACACCGCCUGGAAUCAGAAGUCCUGGAUGGCAGGAAGCUUGGCACCAGUGAUGUACUGGGCCGUAGGCACUACCCUCUGUCGUGCCUUGUGGUUAGAGGCCAAGCAGUUGCCAUACCAGGGAGUGUUGCAACCCGUCAGGAUGCUCUCGAUGGUGCAGCUGUAGAACCUUUUGA
This 1245-nucleotide long non-coding RNA is filed under the name Salmo salar (Atlantic salmon). RNAcentral describes it as "lncRNA (ENSSSAG00000121474.1)". The record is from RNAcentral. Lineage: Eukaryota; Metazoa; Chordata; Actinopteri; Salmoniformes; Salmonidae.